GAUGAAGAACGCAGCGAAAUGCGAUAAGUAAUGUGAAUUGCAGAAUUCAGUGAAUCAUCGAAUCUUUGAACGCACCUUGCGCCCUUUGGCCAUUCCGAAGGGCAUGCCUGUUUGAGUAUCAUGAACACCUCAACUCUUUAUGGUUUUCCAUGAUGAGCUUGGACUCUGGGGGUUUUGCUGGCUCACAGUCGGCUCCUCUAAAAUAAAUCAGCUUACCAGUGUUUGGUGGGUAUCAUGGGUGUGAUAACUAUCUACGCCUGUGGUUUUCUGCCAGAUAACCUUCAGCGAUGGAGGUUCGCUGGGGCUCAUAAAUGUCUCUCUUCAGUGGAGACAGCUUUUUGGACGUUUGAUCUCAAAUCAGGUAGGACUACCCGCUGAACUUAAGCAUAUCAAUAAGCGGAGGA
Molecule: unclassified non-coding RNA, 404 nt
Filed under: soil metagenome
Description: partial contains 5.8S ribosomal RNA, internal transcribed spacer 2, and large subunit ribosomal RNA
Rfam family: 5.8S ribosomal RNA (bases 1-121)
Source: RNAcentral